RNAcentral lists this ribosomal RNA (406 nucleotides) under uncultured bacterium. RNAcentral describes it as "bacterial SSU rRNA". It matches the Rfam family "Bacterial small subunit ribosomal RNA", at positions 524 to 932 of the family's 1533-position model. The record is from RNAcentral.
UACGGAGGGUGCAAGCGUUAUCCGGAUUCAUUGGGUUUAAAGGGUGCGCAGGCGGAUAUUUAAGUCAGUGGUGAAAUCCCGGGGCUCAACCUCGGAACUGCCAUUGAUACUGAGUAUCUGGAAUACGGUUGAAGUGGGCGGAAUGUAGCAUGUAGCGGUGAAAUGCAUAGAGAUGCUACAGAACACCGAUCGCGAAGGCAGCUCACUAAGCCGAUAUUGACGCUCAGGCACGAAAGCGUGGGGAGCGAACAGGAUUAGAUACCCUGGUAGUCCACGCCGUAAACGAUGAUNACUCGUUGUUGGCGAUAUACNGUCAGCGACUAAGCGAAAGCGAUAAGUUAUCCACCUGGGGAGUAUGAUCGCAAGGUUGAAACUCAAAGGAAUUGACGGGGGCCCGCACAAGCGG